UAGCAGACCUCCUAUCUCUCUCAAACUCACCUGUCAUGUGGUCUUUGCUUCAGUGUGAACUAUGCUGCUAGCAGUGCAGACACUACCUGCUGGUGGAACCAGUUCCACACAAGAGGCCAACUCGCCAGACUUCCUACUGCAUUCCUGAUAUAAUCCAUUUAAUCUUCCCUGUGGCACAGCUCAAUUUCUUCUCCAGAUGUUCCUGGAUCAAGUUGCAAGAUUGCAUCCAAUGGAUUUAACAAGAUGACAAUUUCAACAUGUACAGAACUAUCACUCUGGAGUGACAGUCCUUGCAAAAGUCUCUAAAGUGCCACAAGUACUCCUGUUCUCAUUGUCUCUAAGUCCAGAACUUGAAAGGACUUCAUCAUAAACAGCAUCUUUCAGACAACGGAAAUGGGACAGCUCAGAAGAAUGGUAAUGGGAUAUGAACUUUCAUUUCUACAUCAGAAGCUCAAACCCAGGUUAGUAUUGAUUCACUUAUUACUGACAGUUUUCAAUUGGAGUUAUACAAGUGCAGAAAAAAGCCAUGGACUUGCUGCACAUUUGUUU
Dermochelys coriacea (leatherback sea turtle) is the source of this 549-nucleotide long non-coding RNA. RefSeq lists it as uncharacterized. NCBI's taxonomy places the organism in Eukaryota, Metazoa, Chordata, Testudines, Dermochelyidae. The transcript has 3 exons. The record is from RefSeq and is a predicted model, not a curated record.